Long non-coding RNA from Lepus europaeus (European hare), 486 nucleotides. RefSeq lists it as uncharacterized. Lineage: Eukaryota; Metazoa; Chordata; Mammalia; Lagomorpha; Leporidae. The record is from RefSeq and is a predicted model, not a curated record. The transcript is spliced from 4 exons.
CCUUGCGGGGAGCGGGUCAAGUCCGCGGGAGCCGGCGCUGGGGUCUGAGAGCAAUCACGGGUGCUCGGGUCCUCGGUGGCUGACAGCAAAAUUAAGUGGCCAACAUGUGUUUGCUCUACCAGUCACUGAGAGCCACCUGGUACCGUGAUGGAUUGAAACCAGUGGAAGAAAAUGCUCCUUGAAAGAGAAAUAUCACUUCAAUCAAGAUGCCUCUGAGGGUUAAAGCCCUGGCCUGAAGCGCCAGCAUCCCAUGUGGGCACCUGUUCGGGACCCAGCUGCUCCACUUCCGAUCCAGCUCUCUGCUGUGGCCUGGGAAGGCAGUGGAAGAUGGUCCAGGUCCUUGGGCCCCUGCACCUGCGUGGGAGACCUGAAGGAGGCUCCUGGCUCCUGGCUUCAGAUCGGCGCAGCUCCAGCCAUUGCGGCCAUCUUGGGAGUGAACAACUGGAUGGAAGACUCUCUCUCUCUCUGCCUCUGCCUUUCUGUAAA